RNAcentral lists this ribosomal RNA (253 nucleotides) under uncultured microorganism. RNAcentral describes it as "partial 16S ribosomal RNA". It matches the Rfam family "Bacterial small subunit ribosomal RNA", at positions 524 to 776 of the family's 1533-position model. The record is from RNAcentral.
UACGUAGGGUGCGAGCGUUAAUCGGAUUUACUGGGCGUAAAGCGUGCGCAGGCGGCCCGUUAAGACAGGUGUGAAAUCCCUGGGCUCAACCUAGGAAUUGCACUUGUGACUGGCGGGCUCGAGUACGGUAGAGGGGGGUGGAAUUCCUGGUGUAGCAGUGAAAUGCGUAGAGAUCAGGAGGAACACCGAUGGCGAAGGCAGCCCCCUGGGCCUGUACUGACGCUCAUGCACGAAAGCGUGGGGAGCAAACAGG